Molecule: ribosomal RNA, 838 nt
Filed under: uncultured bacterium
Lineage: Bacteria
Description: bacterial SSU rRNA
Rfam family: Bacterial small subunit ribosomal RNA
Source: RNAcentral
AAUUCGAUUGUUUGAUCAUGGCUCAGGACGAACGCUGGCGGCGUGCUUAACACAUGCAAGUCGAACGGUGAUGGCCAGCUUGCUGGUCUGAUCAGUGGCGAACGGGUGAGUAACACGUGAGCAACCUGCCCUUCACUCUGGAAUAACCACGGGAAACGGUGGCUAAUACCGGAUAUGAGACGUACACGCAUGUGUCGCGUCUGGAAAGAUUUAUCGGUGAAGGAUGGGCUCGCGGCCUAUCAGCUUGUUGGUGGGGUAGUGGCCCACCAAGGCGACGACGGGUAGCCGGCCUGAGAGGGCGACCGGCCACACUGGGACUGAGAUACGGCCCAGACUCCUACGGGAGGCAGCAGUGGGGAAUAUUGCACAAUGGGCGCAAGCCUGAUGCAGCGACGCCGCGUGAGGGAUGACGGCCUUCGGGUUGUAAACCUCUUUCAGCAGGGAAGAAGCGAGAGUGACGGUACCUGCAGAAGAAGCGCCGGCUAACUACGUGCCAGCAGCCGCGGUAAUACGUAGGGCGCAAGCGUUGUCCGGAAUUAUUGGGCGUAAAGAGCUCGUAGGCGGUUUGUCGCGUCUGCUGUGAAAACCUAAGGCUCAACCUUGGGCUUGCAGUGGGUACGGGCAGACUAGAGUGCGGUAGGGGUGACUGGAAUUCCUGGUGUAGCGGUGGAAUGCGCAGAUAUCAGGAGGAACACCGAUGGCGAAGGCAGGUCACUGGGCCGCAACUGACGCUGAGGAGCGAAAGCAUGGGGAGCGAACAGGAUUAGAUACCCUGGUAGUCCAUGCCGUAAACGUUGGGCACUAGGUGUGGGGCUCAUUCCACGAGUUCCGUGCCGCA